This 400-nucleotide ribosomal RNA is filed under the name uncultured bacterium. Its description in RNAcentral is "bacterial SSU rRNA". It matches the Rfam family "Bacterial small subunit ribosomal RNA", at positions 29 to 425 of the family's 1533-position model. The record is from RNAcentral.
AUUGAACGCUGGCGGCAUGCCUAACACAUGCAAGUCGAACGGCAGCACGGCAGUAGCAAUACUGUGGGUGGCGAGUGGCGGACGGGUGAGGAAUACGUCGGAAUCUGCCCAGUCGUGGGGGAUAACUAGCCGAAGGUUAGCUAAUACCGCAUACGACCGAGAGGUGAAAGCGGGGGACCGGCAAGGCCUCGCGCGAUUGGAUGAGCCGACGUCGGAUUAGCUAGUUGGUGGGGUAAAGGGCCCACCAAGGCGACGAUCCGUAGCUGGUCUGAGAGGAUGAUCAGCCACACUGGAACUGAGACACGGUCCAGACUCCUACGGGAGGCAGCAGUGGGGAAUAUUGGACAAUGGGCGCAAGCCUGAUCCAGCAAUGCCGCGUGUGUGAAGAAGGCCUCGGUUG